RNAcentral lists this ribosomal RNA (395 nucleotides) under uncultured bacterium. RNAcentral's name for it is "partial 16S ribosomal RNA". It matches the Rfam family "Bacterial small subunit ribosomal RNA", at positions 338 to 730 of the family's 1533-position model. The record is from RNAcentral.
CCUACGGGCGGCAGCAGUGAGGAAUAUUGGUCAAUGGGCGUAAGCCUGAACCAGCCAAGUAGCGUGCGGGAUGACGGUCCUAUGGAUUGUAAACCUCUUUUAUAAGGGAAUAAACUGUGUCACGUGUCCCAUUUUGUAUGUACCGUAUGAAUAAGGACCGGCUAAUUCCGUGCCAGCAGCCGCGGUAAUACGGAGGAUCCGUGCGUUAUCCGGAUUUAUUGGGUUUAAAGGGUGCGUAGGCGGCCUGUUAAGUCAGCUGUGAAAGUCCGGGGCGUAACCAUGGCACUGCCGUGGAAACUGGGGGGCUUGAGUGGGUUUGAGGGAGGCGGAAUGCGUGGUGUAGCGGUGAAAUGCUUAGAUAUCACGCAGAACCCCGAUUGCGAAGGCAGCCUACC